RNAcentral lists this ribosomal RNA (301 nucleotides) under uncultured bacterium. RNAcentral's name for it is "partial 16S ribosomal RNA". It matches the Rfam family "Bacterial small subunit ribosomal RNA", at positions 509 to 807 of the family's 1533-position model. The record is from RNAcentral.
CAGUAGCCGCGGUAAAACGUAGGUGGCAAGCGUUGUCCGGAUUUAUUGGGCGUAAAGCGAGCGCAGGCGGUUUCUUAAGUCUGAUGUGAAAGCCCCCGGCUCAACCGGGGAGGGUCAUUGGAAACUGGGAGACUUGAGUGCAGAAGAGGAGAGUGGAAUUCCAUGUGUAGCGGUGAAAUGCGUAGAUAUAUGGAGGAACACCAGUGGCGAAGGCGGCUCUCUGGUCUGUAACUGACGCUGAGGCUCGAAAGCGUGGGGAGCGAACAGGAUUAGAUACCCCCGUAGUCCCUGUCUCUUAUAC